GACGAACGCUGGCGGCGUGCUUAACACAUGCAAGUCGAACGGUGAAGCGCCUUCCUUUUUGGUGGGUGUGGAUGAGUGGCGAACGGGUGAGUAACACGUGAGUAACCUGCCCCCUUCUUCUGGAUAACCGCAUGAAAGUGUGGCUAAUACGGGAUAUUCUGGGUCUGUCGCAUGAUGGGUCUGGGAAAGAUCUUGUUUCGGUGGGGGAUGGGCUCGCGGCCUAUCAGCUUGUUGGUGGGGUGAUGGCCUACCAAGGCGGUGGCGGGUAGCCGGCCUGAGAGGGUGGACGGUCACACUGGGACUGAGACACGGCCCAGACUCCUACGGGAGGCAGCAGUGGGGAAUAUUGCACAAUGGGCGCAAGCCCGAUGCAGCGACGCCGCGUGAGGGAUGGAGGCCUUCGGGUUGUGAACCUCUUUCGCCAGUGAAGCAGGCCUGCCUCGUUUGUGGGUGGGUUGACGGUAGCUGGAUAAGAAGCGCCGGCUAACUACGUG
RNAcentral lists this ribosomal RNA (494 nucleotides) under uncultured bacterium. RNAcentral's name for it is "partial 16S ribosomal RNA". It matches the Rfam family "Bacterial small subunit ribosomal RNA", at positions 28 to 507 of the family's 1533-position model. The record is from RNAcentral.